RNAcentral lists this long non-coding RNA (2496 nucleotides) under Capsella grandiflora. RNAcentral's name for it is "long non-coding RNA (CGRA_LNC001181)". Lineage: Eukaryota; Viridiplantae; Streptophyta; Magnoliopsida; Brassicales; Brassicaceae. The record is from RNAcentral.
CUGAACACAAGGCUUGUGUCCACUUUGUCCAACAGCCACCAAAUACAGAGAGAAGAAGAAGAGUGCAUUGAGAAAAGACGAAGGUGAAGAGGUCACUUCAGUAGUGUUGGGAAUUAGGAGCGCAGAUAAAGUCAGAAAUGCCAGUCCCUGACAUCAAAAUUCAAAUUACGAUCAAUUCAGUUUCUACAUAAAGAAGCCACAAUCUAUCUCAAAAUUGAGGUUGAAAUGAAUCUGAAAGAUCGAAAAAGAAGAGACAGAACAAGACGAACCAGUACGUAGAUAAAAGAAGCGAUGAGUAUUGUUCGGUACCGACCGAGAAAAGCGUCAGCGACAAAAGCUCCAAGAACAGGAAGAAUAGUUGAAACUCCCGACCAAGCGUUGACAUUAGCCGCAGCAACCGCCGUAGAUUGACCAAGCGGUCCAGUCAAGUAACUUAUCAAGUUUGAUCCGAUCCCAUAGUGAGCGAACCUCUCCGCCACCUCCACACCUGCCAAAAUAAAAUAAAAAGAGUCCUCAAGAGAUUCAAAAAAUGAAGUUCAAGAAAACAGAGCAGCUCGUGAUCAGAGCUUUACCGAUUAUGAACCAUGCAGCUCUCCAUCUACCGGUAUUAGUUCUUGUAGCGGCGAAUCCACGGUGGUCCACGGCGUCGAUAACGCUUUCUUCUCCAGAAGUAGCCAUUUGGAGAAAGACUACGAACAAGAUAUUAAUUUAGUAACACUUGCCUUACGAAAUAUAUCAAAGUAAGUGAACACUUGGACUGCACCAUUUAAAUUUUCUUGUCUCUUAUGGGAAAGUGAAGUUGUAUACAAAACGAGUCUUUAUUUAUUAUUUUUAUUUUUUUCCUAUACACAUAUGUUUCUCCGCUGGUCAAUAAUUUUUGUAACUACACAUUUUCAUUUUUUUCCCCCUAUAUAGAAUAUGUCACACAACAAGUGAAUAAUUUUGGUAACUACACUUGGUCCACCCGGCGAUAGAUAUACGACCUGGAAAUGAACCAGAACGUAAGGAAACCAACGGCACUAAGAACCGCAAGUAACCAAUAGAAGCAAUCGAGAUGAGCUUUGUUGAGAUUACUGUUGAACCAGCUCUCUCCAUCAUCUCCUCCAGUGGCUAAGUCGAUGAGAGAGAUGAGUAAGCUGCUCAAUAAGCUUCCCACGCCUAACACGCUUAAGUAAAGCGAAAGACCGAUGCUUCUCAGCUCAGUGGGAACUUGGCUGUAGAAGAACUCUUGCAUUCCCACUAUAAAGUAUACGUCGGCCAAUCCCAGCAACAGAUACUGAGGGAUUAACCACCAUAUCGACAUUGGAACAGUUGCUUCGGGUUGGUCUAUAAGCCCGUGUUCUUUCGCAGUCUCGAGCCGCUUUGACUCGACCAGAGCUGCAAUUACCAUAGUGAUACACGACAGUACCAUUCCAGUUCCGAUUCUUUUGAGCGUCGUGAUGCCACAAGGGUCUUUGGUUAUCGAUCUGGCGAUUGGGACGAAAACACGGUCGUAGAUGGGGACAAAGAGGACAAUUGAUAUGCCAAUAAAGACUUGAAGAGAAGCAGGUGGGAUCUUCACACCAGGGAGAAUUGUUCUUUCCAUUGUGACACCUUGCUUUGUGAAAAAUGUCAAGUACUGCGCAUAGGGUAUGGCGUAAGCCAGAGUUGUAAGCCAUACUGGAAUUAGCCUGAUGAGAGCGGUGGCAUCUUCAACAUCACUAGACUUACAUGACUUUUCUCCUUCAGCAGAAUCAUUGGGAACAAGCAAAGCUUUGUUGAGGAAACUGUCACAAGAAAGUGGAUUAAAUUCAUAAUCACACAACAACAAGGCUUUCGAACCAUAGCCUACGAUAACUAUCGCUAUAUAUUUUGAACAUACCUCAGCUUCUCUGGAGAUAAAUUUGCCUCCAACGCAUCUCUGCCCAAUUCUGAGGAGCUCAAUCUUUGGUUCUUGAAUGCUACAAAGAAGACUCUAGCUAUCCUUGUAAACGGGUUGAUUUCCUCCUCUUCAUGUCUUGUUUUACUAUACCUAUAACUCUUUCUCCCUAACACGAAAAGAACAAGAGAGAUCACCAUGAACACACAUGGGAUUCCAAACCCAACCGCCCAGCUAAAUUCUUCUUGGAUGUACACAACCACUAGAAUCGCCAGGCAGAUUCCUGCAGACAUGCUAAGGUACCACCAGUUAAAAAAGGAGCUUCUGUCAAAUAUCUCUUGAGAGUCUUUUUCAUCAAACUGGUCAGCACCAAAAGCCUGAACACAAGGCUUGUGUCCACUUUGUCCAAUAGCCACCAAAUACAGAGAGAAGAAGAAGAGUGCAUUGAGAAAAAACGAAGGUGGAGAGGUCACUUGGGUACUAUCUUUGCUAGUCACAGGAACCAGAAACGCAGAUAAAGUCAAAAAUGCCAAUCCCUGACAUCAAAAUGCAGAUUCUUUCUCAAUCUAAUCCAAAAAUCCUAAAUAAAGAAUCGAUUUUUAUCAUUCGAUCUGAAUAAAGAUUCGAUUUUUAUCAUU